Long non-coding RNA from Meriones unguiculatus (Mongolian gerbil), 346 nucleotides. RefSeq lists it as uncharacterized. Lineage: Eukaryota; Metazoa; Chordata; Mammalia; Rodentia; Muridae. The transcript is spliced from 3 exons. The record is from RefSeq and is a predicted model, not a curated record.
AUAGAGUUCAAAGCUUGUCUUUGAAACUUUGCAGUGAAUUGCUUCCAGAAGCAUUCCUGGACAGGCUGGAAGGAUAGGGAGGGUAGGCUGCCCUGGAGAGAUGUUUCUCUGUGAGCAGGCACAGGAGGGGCAGGCUGCCACCCAUGUACCACACCUAGAGCGGCAGCAGCUGGCAGUUGGCAAGCUCUGGGGCAACCUGAGAAGCAGAGCUCCAGCUGGAGGCCCAAGCAAACACUCAUGUCACAUUGCAUGUGAGAGGAAUUCCAGAGAAGACUGUUCCACAGCACAAACGACUGGACACCAGAGAAUCAUCUAGGCUGGCUGCUCCUUGCAGUGCAGCCCCAGC